RNAcentral lists this ribosomal RNA (1000 nucleotides) under Limosilactobacillus sp. Its description in RNAcentral is "bacterial SSU rRNA". It matches the Rfam family "Bacterial small subunit ribosomal RNA", at positions 1 to 994 of the family's 1533-position model. The record is from RNAcentral. Lineage: Bacteria; Bacillati; Bacillota; Bacilli; Lactobacillales; Lactobacillaceae.
AAACCAAGCGUUGCUAUAAUGCAGUCGAACGCGUUGGCCCAAUUGAUUGAUGGUGCUUGCACCUGAUUGAUUUUGGUCGCCAACGAGUGGCGGACGGGUGAGUAACACGUAGGUAACCUGCCCAGAAGCGGGGGACAACAUUUGGAAACAGAUGCUAAUACCGCAUAACAGCGUUGUUCGCAUGAACAACGCUUAAAAGAUGGCUUCUCGCUAUCACUUCUGGAUGGACCUGCGGUGCAUUAGCUUGUUGGUGGGGUAACGGCCUACCAAGGCGAUGAUGCAUAGCCGAGUUGAGAGACUGAUCGGCCACAAUGGGACUGAGACACGGCCCAUACUCCUACGGGAGGCAGCAGUAGGGAAUCUUCCACAAUGGGCGCAAGCCUGAUGGAGCAACACCGCGUGAGUGAAGAAGGGUUUCGGCUCGUAAAGCUCUGUUGUUAAAGAAGAACACGUAUGAGAGUAACUGUUCAUACGUUGACGGUAUUUAACCAGAAAGUCACGGCUAACUACGUGCCAGCAGCCGCGGUAAUACGUAGGUGGCAAGCGUUAUCCGGAUUUAUUGGGCGUAAAGAGAGUGCAGGCGGUUUUCUAAGUCUGAUGUGAAAGCCUUCGGCUUAACCGGAGAAGUGCAUCGGAAACUGGAUAACUUGAGUGCAGAAGAGGGUAGUGGAACUCCAUGUGUAGCGGUGGAAUGCGUAGAUAUAUGGAAGAACACCAGUGGCGAAGGCGGCUACCUGGUCUGCAACUGACGCUGAGACUCGAAAGCAUGGGUAGCGAACAGGAUUAGAUACCCUGGUAGUCCAUGCCGUAAACGAUGAGUGCUAGGUGUUGGAGGGUUUCCGCCCUUCAGUGCCGGAGCUAACGCAUUAAGCACUCCGCCUGGGGAGUACGACCGCAAGGUUGAAACUCAAAGGAAUUGACGGGGGCCCGCACAAGCGGUGGAGCAUGUGGUUUAAUUCGAAGCUACGCGAAGAACCUUACCGGUCUUGACAUCUUGCGC